This 467-nucleotide ribosomal RNA is filed under the name uncultured bacterium. Its description in RNAcentral is "partial 16S ribosomal RNA". It matches the Rfam family "Bacterial small subunit ribosomal RNA", at positions 28 to 507 of the family's 1533-position model. The record is from RNAcentral.
GAUGAACGCUGGCGGCGUGCUUAACACAUGCGAGUCGAACGGAAAGGCCUAGCUUGCUGGGUACUCGAGUGGCGAACGGGUGAGUAACACGUGGGUGCUAUGCCCCUGACUUUGGGAUAAGCCUGGGAGACUGGGUCUAAUACCGGAUAUUCAUUUUUCCACGCCUGGGGCUUCGUGGAGAAAUUAUGCGGUUGGGGAUGGGCCCGCGGCCUAUCAGCUUGUUGGUGGGGUAAUGGCCUACCAAGGCGACGACGGGUAGCCGACCUGAGAGGGUGACCGGCCACACUGGGACUGAGACACGGCCCAGACUCCUACGGGAGGCAGCAGUGGGGAAUAUUGCACAAUGGGCGAAAGCCUGAUGCAGCGACGCCGCGUGAGGGACGACGGCCUUCGGGUUGUAAACCUCUUUUAGCAGCGAAGAAGCGAAAGUGACGGUACCUGCAGAAGAAGCGCCGGCUAACUACGUG